GAUGGACGCUGGCGGCGUGCUUAACACAUGCAAGUCGAACGGAAAGGCCAGUGCUUGCACUGGUACUCGAGUGGCGAACGGGUGAGUAACACGUGGGUGAUCUGCCCUGCACUUCGGGAUAAGCCUGGGAAACUGGGUCUAAUACCGGAUAGGACAAUGGUUUGGAUGCCGUUGUGGAAAGUUUUUUCGGUGUGGGAUGAGCUCGCGGCCUAUCAGCUUGUUGGUGGGGUAAUGGCCUACCAAGGCGUCGACGGGUAGCCGGCCUGAGAGGGUGUACGGCCACAUUGGGACUGAGAUACGGCCCAGACUCCUACGGGAGGCAGCAAUGGGGAAUAUUGCACAAUGGGCGCAAGCCUGAUGCAGCGACGCCGCGUGGGGGAUGACGGCCUUCGGGUUGUAAACUCCUUUCGCUAGGGACGAAGCGUAUUUGUGACGGUACCUGGAGAAGAAGCACCGGCUAACUACGUG
RNAcentral lists this ribosomal RNA (468 nucleotides) under uncultured bacterium. Its description in RNAcentral is "partial 16S ribosomal RNA". It matches the Rfam family "Bacterial small subunit ribosomal RNA", at positions 28 to 507 of the family's 1533-position model. The record is from RNAcentral.